RNAcentral lists this ribosomal RNA (492 nucleotides) under uncultured bacterium. RNAcentral's name for it is "partial 16S ribosomal RNA". It matches the Rfam family "Bacterial small subunit ribosomal RNA", at positions 29 to 507 of the family's 1533-position model. The record is from RNAcentral.
AGUGAACGCUGGCGGUAGGCCUAACACAUGCAAGUCGAACGGCAGCACAGUAAGAGCUUGCUCUUACGGGUGGCGAGUGGCGGACGGGUGAGGAAUACAUCGGAAUCUACUUUUUCGUGGGGGAUAACGUAGGGAAACUUACGCUAAUACCGCAUACGACCUACGGGUGAAAGCAGGGGAUCUUCGGACCUUGCGCGAUUGAAUGAGCCGAUGUCGGAUUAGCUAGUUGGCGGGGUAAAGGCCCACCAAGGCGACGAUCCGUAGCUGGUCUGAGAGGAUGGUCAGCCACACUGGAACUGAGACACGGUCCAGACUCCUACGGGAGGCAGCAGUGGGGAAUAUUGGACAAUGGGCGCAAGCCUGAUCCAGCCAUACCGCGUGGGUGAAGAAGGCCUUCGGGUUGUAAAGCCCUUUUGUUGGGAAAGAAAAGCAGCAGGUUAAUACCCCGCUGUUCUGACGGUACCCAAAGAAUAAGCACCGGCUAACUUUGUG